Ictidomys tridecemlineatus (thirteen-lined ground squirrel) is the source of this 739-nucleotide non-coding RNA. The record is from RefSeq and is a predicted model, not a curated record. NCBI's taxonomy places the organism in Eukaryota, Metazoa, Chordata, Mammalia, Rodentia, Sciuridae.
UCUUUGAGAUCUGGACUGUGCCAAGACAUCUACACUGUACAGCCAGCAGAGAUCUGGGAGACUACAGCCAUCUUGACAGUACCCUCACAGGAUACCACGAACUGAAAGCAGGGCAGGUGCUUCCCUACUUCCUCUGUGAGACAUGUCUGAAAAUAUUUUCUUUGUGGAGUUUGUAAUAAUUGAAGACCACUGGUGACAAGACUUGAUCAACCCUGUCGCGGUGUCAUUGGGACAUAAGAGCAGGUGCAUGAUGCUGCCAGGUGAACAGCAGAGUGAAGACCACAUGCUCCAUAUCCCAAAUGGCAGACAACUUCUGAUGGCAAUGGGAUGGGUGAUUCAGUCUCUAAUCUAUCCUCACCACAGCCACAGAGGAUUGGUCUGUUCCCAGCAUGAAUGAGAAAACACUCCCUGAACUGCAAAGAGCUAAAAAUGUAUGCAGAGAAAAGAUCACACAGAAAGAUGCCUCAUACCCAGAGUGAUGGGCCCUGGGAGCUCUGAGAUCACUGUAAGAAUGAGUCCAAGCCAGCCUCCUCAAGGAUGAGAAGCCACAUGGAAGCACAAGUCCACUGUGCUUCAGUAACAGUCUCAUGUGACCAUUUCAGAUGAGGCCUGAUUCGAGGACCUGCAAUAUAUAUAGUUCAACACAGGAAGAGCUGGCUACAAAUAUCUGAAAGGGCAGUCACUGGGAAAAUGAAACACAAAGUGUUCUUCAAAUUUUACGAGGACAAACCUAGGAUCA